UGGGGAAUAUUGCGCAAUGGGGGAAACCCUGACGCAGCGACGCCGCGUGCGGGAUGAAGGCCUUCGGGUUGUAAACCGCUUUCAGCAGGGACGAAGCGCGAGUGACGGUACCUGCAGAAGAAGCGCCGGCUAACUACGUGCCAGCAGCCGCGGUAACACGUAGGGCGCGAGCGUUGUCCGGAAUUAUUGGGCGUAAAGAGCUCGUAGGCGGCCUGUUGCGUCCGCUGUGAAAGCCCGGGGCUUAACCCCGGGUCGGCAGUGGAUACGGGCAGGCUAGAGGUAGGUAGGGGAGAAUGGAAUUCCCGGUGUAGCGGUGAAAUGCGCAGAUAUCGGGAGGAACACCGGUGGCGAAGGCGGUUCUCUGGGCCUUACCUGACGCUGAGGAGCGAAAGCGUGGGGAGCGAAC
RNAcentral lists this ribosomal RNA (406 nucleotides) under uncultured bacterium. Its description in RNAcentral is "bacterial SSU rRNA". It matches the Rfam family "Bacterial small subunit ribosomal RNA", at positions 355 to 773 of the family's 1533-position model. The record is from RNAcentral.